Molecule: unclassified non-coding RNA, 376 nt
Filed under: uncultured bacterium
Lineage: Bacteria
Description: contains 16S-23S intergenic spacer region
Source: RNAcentral
UCCGAGUUGACCCCGGCAGUCUCCUGCGAGUCCCCGCCAUUACGCGCUGGCAACACAGGACAAGGGUUGCGCUCGUUGCGGGACUUAACCCAACAUCUCACGACACGAGCUGACGACAGCCAUGCACCACCUGUGAACGGCCCCGAAGGACCCGACAUCUCUGCCGGAUUUCCGUCCAUGUCAAACCCAGGUAAGGUUCUUCGCGUCGCAUCGAAUUAAUCCGCAUGCUCCGCCGCUUGUGCGGGCCCCCGUCAAUUCCUUUGAGUUUCAGUCUUGCGACCGUACUCCCCAGGCGGCGAACUUAACGCGUUAGCUUCGAUACUGCGUGCCAAAUUGCACCCAACAUCCAGUUCGCAUCGUUUAGGGCGUGGACUAC